AUACCUUUCUCGGCCUUUUGGCUAAGAUCAAGUGUAGUAUCUGUUCUUAUCAGUUUAAUAUCUGAUAUGUGGACCAUGUGUCCAUAACGAUAUUAAAUUUAUUUUUUAUGGAGGAGGGUCCUACACGAUAGCUUGCUAUUAGGGCCCUUAUGUGUCGCCUAGGCGUUGCACUAUUGCCUAGGCCUGGUGCGCCCCAA
Non-coding RNA from Hordeum vulgare subsp. vulgare (domesticated barley), 197 nucleotides. The record is from Rfam. NCBI's taxonomy places the organism in Eukaryota, Viridiplantae, Streptophyta, Magnoliopsida, Poales, Poaceae.